UACAGAGGGUGCAAGCGUUAAUCGGAAUUACUGGGCGUAAAGGGCCUGUAGGUGGUUUCUUAAGUUAGAUGUGAAAGCCCUGGGCUCAACCUGGGAACUGCAUCUAAAACUGGGUAACUAGAGUAUGGUAGAGGGAAGUGGAAUUUCUAGUGUAGCGGUGAAAUGCGUAGAUAUUAGAAAGAACACCAGUGGCGAAGGCGACUUCCUGGCCCAAUACUGACACUGAGGGGCGAAAGCGUGGGGAGCAAACAGG
Molecule: ribosomal RNA, 253 nt
Filed under: uncultured bacterium
Lineage: Bacteria
Description: partial 16S ribosomal RNA
Rfam family: Bacterial small subunit ribosomal RNA
Source: RNAcentral